This 87-nucleotide transfer RNA is filed under the name Escherichia coli. Its description in RNAcentral is "tRNA-Leu". It matches the Rfam family "tRNA". From Rfam's summary of the family: Transfer RNA (tRNA) molecules are approximately 80 nucleotides in length. Lineage: Bacteria; Pseudomonadati; Pseudomonadota; Gammaproteobacteria; Enterobacterales; Enterobacteriaceae. The record is from RNAcentral. RNAcentral also lists the same sequence under 4 other names.
GCGAAGGUGGCGGAAUUGGUAGACGCGCUAGCUUCAGGUGUUAGUGUCCUUACGGACGUGGGGGUUCAAGUCCCCUCCCUCGCACCA